GACGAACGCUGGCGGCGUGCUUAACACAUGCAAGUCGAGCGAUGAAGCACCUUCGGGUGUGGAUUAGCGGCGAACGGGUGAGGAACACGUGAGCAAUCUGCCUUCCACUCUGGGAUAACUCCGGGAAACCGGGGCUAAUACCGGAUAUUUUCAACUGGCGGCAUCGCCGGCUGAAGAAAGUUUUGCGGUGGAGGAUGACCUCGCGGCCUAUCAGCUUGUUGGUGAGGUAAAGGCUCACCAAGACGACGACGGGUAGCCGGCCUGCGAGGGUGGACGGCGCCGCUGGGACUGAGACACGGCCCAGACGCCUACGGGAGGCGGCAGUGGGGAAUAUUGGGGAAUGGAGGAGGGUCUGACCCAGCGAGGCCGCGUGGGGGAUGAAGGCCUGCGGGUUGUAAACCUCUUUCAGCAGGGAAUAAGCGAAAGUGAAGGUACCUGCAGAAGAAGCACCGGCUAACUAUGUGCCAGCCGCCGCCGUAA
This 480-nucleotide ribosomal RNA is filed under the name uncultured bacterium. RNAcentral describes it as "partial 16S ribosomal RNA". It matches the Rfam family "Bacterial small subunit ribosomal RNA", at positions 28 to 523 of the family's 1533-position model. The record is from RNAcentral.